RNAcentral lists this ribosomal RNA (497 nucleotides) under uncultured bacterium. Its description in RNAcentral is "partial 16S ribosomal RNA". It matches the Rfam family "Bacterial small subunit ribosomal RNA", at positions 28 to 507 of the family's 1533-position model. The record is from RNAcentral.
GAUGAACGCUGGCGGCGUGCCUAAUACAUGCAAGUCGAGCGAACAGACGAGGAGCUUGCUCCUCUGACGUUAGCGGCGGACGGGUGAGUAACACGUGGAUAACCUACCUAUAAGACUGGGAUAACUUCGGGAAACCGGAGCUAAUACCGGAUAAUAUAUUGAACCGCAUGGUUCAAUAGUGAAAGACGGUUUUGCUGUCACUUAUAGAUGGAUCCGCGCCGCAUUAGCUAGUUGGUAAGGUAACGGCUUACCAAGGCAACGAUGCGUAGCCGACCUGAGAGGGGGAUCGGCCACACGGGAACUGAGACACGGUCCAGCCUCCUACGGGAGGCAGCAGUAGGGAAUCUUCCGCAAUGGGCGAAAGCCUGACGGAGCAACGCCGCGUGAGUGAUGAAGGUCUUCGGAUCGUAAAACUCUGUUAUUAGGGAAGAACAAAUGUGUAAGUAACUAUGCACGUCUUGACGGUACCUAAUCAGAAAGCCACGGCUAACUACGUG